RNAcentral lists this transfer RNA (89 nucleotides) under Colletotrichum acutatum. RNAcentral describes it as "tRNA-Gln". It matches the Rfam family "tRNA". Rfam says of the family: Transfer RNA (tRNA) molecules are approximately 80 nucleotides in length. RNAcentral also lists the same sequence under 1 other name. The record is from RNAcentral. Lineage: Eukaryota; Fungi; Ascomycota; Sordariomycetes; Glomerellales; Glomerellaceae.
GGUCUAUUAGUCUAGUUGGUUAGGACGUCGGAUUCUGAUCUCGAAAUCAGUUCCUUCCGUAAGCCCAGGUUCGAAUCCUGGAUGGACCU